CCUACGGGAGGCAGCAGUGAGGAAUAUUGGUCAAUGGGCGCGAGCCUGAACCAGCCAAGUAGCGUGAAGGAUGACGGCCCUACGGGUUGUAAACUGCUUUUAUAAAGGAAAAAAGUGAGGCACGUGGGCAGUUUUGUAUGUACUUUAUGAAUAAGGAUGGGCUAACUCCGUGCCAGCAGCCGCGGUAAUACGGAGGCUCCGAGCGUUAUCCGGAUUUAUUGGGGUUAAAGGGAGCGUAGAUGGGUUGUUAAGUAAGUUGUGAAAGUUUGCGGCUCAACCGUAAAAUUGCAAUUGAUACUUGCAGUCUUUAGUCCAGUUGAGGUCGGCGGCAUUCGUGUUGUAGCGGU
This 347-nucleotide ribosomal RNA is filed under the name uncultured bacterium. RNAcentral describes it as "partial 16S ribosomal RNA". It matches the Rfam family "Bacterial small subunit ribosomal RNA", at positions 338 to 682 of the family's 1533-position model. The record is from RNAcentral.